This 328-nucleotide ribosomal RNA is filed under the name uncultured Pseudomonadota bacterium. Its description in RNAcentral is "bacterial SSU rRNA". It matches the Rfam family "Bacterial small subunit ribosomal RNA", at positions 30 to 351 of the family's 1533-position model. Lineage: Bacteria; Pseudomonadati; Pseudomonadota. The record is from RNAcentral.
AUUGAACGCUGGCGGCAUGCCUAACACAUGCAAGUCGAACGGCAGCAUGAUGUGUAGCAAUACACAUUGAUGGCGAGUGGCGGACGGGUGCGUAAUACGUAGGAAUCUCCCUCGAAGCGGGGGAUAACCCGGGGAAACUCGGGCUAAUACCGCAUAAUCUCUAUGGAGCAAAGCUGGGACCGUAAGGCCUGGCACUUCGAGAUGAGCCUACGUCGGAUUAGCUAGUUGGUAGGGUAAAGGCCUACCAAGGCAAUGAUCCGUAGCUGGUCUGAGAGGACGGCCAGCCACACUGGGACUGAGACACGGCCCAGACUCCUACGGGAGGCAG